CUUUAGUGACAAAACAGCUUUUGGAAUAUUAGUUUUCAGACUUGUGAGGUCACAUUUUUUCUAUGAAUGACUGACAGCUCUGUGUGAAACCCUAGCUGAAACUUUUGUCUCCUUUCUCGUUACCCAAUUCACCGGCGAGAGAGGCGUGAUACAUACAACGAAUGGGCGGGCGAUAUGUCAGUAAGCUAUGGAGGCCGUACACACUGAGGGAGGAUAUCUAUGCAGAUGAGCUAACGAGAAGAGCAAGGGCGGUGCAUAGACUGCAGACUACACGGCUUUUCCCCCUGCAUAGCUAUAUAAUCAGGCCAGGCUAAGCCGGCAUGCACUCGGAUCUUUUGUCUUGGUAAAGGUAAGUUAAUAAAGCCCAGAAUGGGCUAAUAAUAGACAUAAUGCAUAGGGGGGAUGGCUCAGCACACAGCAGCCUGGGCUCUUUAAAUCAUGUAGACCGACCAGAUGCAUUGGGAAGGUUGGAGGGAUUGUGGAAGUCGUGACAUGUAGGGUAUAAGAAGAACCAGGAAUGUAGCUCAGUUUUGCAAAAUAGCCAGGAAUAAAUAAUAAUAUAUAGACUAUUGGGUAUGCAAGGGAACGUGUUAUCUAUGUGCGUAAUAAGCUCGCCAUAUGUGUCAUUAUUCGGUAAUAUCAGUAUGAUGGAAUCCUGAGGUCAUUAGAAGUAGAAGCACAGGUCCAUAUUUAGAUCCUCAUGCAUGGUCUGGUCACGUUGCCAUGUGUCUCCUGAUAGAACGCAACCCCAUCCUCCACGUUCCAUCCACAACACGCUAUGAGCAGUGGUUGAUGAGUUCUGACCAUUAUGUGUCCCUCCCCCCUCCCAACCCCCCAUUUAAUGCACUUCCCAAACAUUCUUACAUUUUCCAUUGAAUUCCAUUAUUUAGCUUAUCUGAGUGGGUUUUGCUGUUUCCUUGGCUAGGAGGGCUACUCUAUGUGUGUCAUGUGAUGUUUCUAUUUAUUACUCCCUCGGAUAAUGUGGUUGUCUGGUUCAUACUUUCAGUUUUGGAAGGUCCCUAUUCGCUUGAUUUAUAAUAUACACACAGAGCAUUGCUGCUAUGAGCUGCUUCGUCCCAAGGAGUUUUGCCAGCAGCUAACUUGCAUGUGUGUAGACAUUCGGUUUUCUGGCACUUGCUUUAAAAUGUUUUUAAUACAGGAAACCACGCUGAAAUCAUGGAGACUAUGCAGAGCCUGUGAUGUAGGAAAUUUGUGUGUGUAUAUAUAUAUAUCACUCUUUCUGUUUAUAAUGCAAUUACUGAUAAAUGUUUCCUUAACCAGAUAAUGUUUAAAAGAGGAAGCAGCUGUUUCUUCUGUGUUUGGCCAUCUCUUGGCAGCUUCUUCUUUUCAAUAUCCCCCCCCACCUUUAUUUUUAUGUCUUUUGUUUUUCUAUUCCCGAUCUCUCCAUUGCAUGUGGCCUGAUUAUAAAAAAUCUGCAGUGACUUCAGAGACAUGCUGCACUGAUGGGCAAUGUGAAAGGUUGCAGUAGGGUUUAGAAUUGUGCAAACACAUUUACUUUCAGCAUGCUUUGCACAAUGCUGUGGCAAUGCAGUGUUUGUAAAACAGCAGUGCCACCUAGUUGAAAUAACUGAUCAAAUUUAGCCUUUCUUUGGGAAUGCACUUAUUCUAUAGGAACACCACUGCCAGUACGAAUUUAUGAUGCUAAAUGCAUUUAAAAAAUAAAUGUUUUUACUCAUCAUUGAAGUGAACUGAAAAUGAAAUAAAUAAAUAGCACAGCGAUGUGUACAACAGAGUGUGAGAAAUCUUUUAAAUCGGCUAUUUUUGUUCUGUUGUGUUUUUGCUGCUGAAGCAUCACAAAACUGAAAAGCGUAUUGCAAUGACAUUUCUCAAACCCUACUAUCCGAAAAGUUACUUCAAUCUCUUUAUGACCAAGACUUGCACAAAUCCUUUUAUAUCAUAAUAUGGAUACUCUUAUCUUCGGUUUCAAAAAAAAAUAAAAAAUUAAAUUUAAAAAUACAAGAACCAUUUGCAGGAGUAGUUUUUGUAGUGGAAGUACAUUCACCCGUGGACCUCUCUAUAAAAUACUUAACAUAUUUUCAGCCUGCUCUGGUGUUUGUUAAACCUGUUCCACAGUCACAACACUCUAAAUAUUUAUCUGGGCUGAUUUGAUGGGUAGCACUGAUCCAUUACUUUCUUGCAGUUUUUGUUCCGGGUAGUCUUUUAUUCUGAAGUGAAGCUGAGGAAUAUGUUUCAUCAGAUUGUACAUUAUUUACUUUGGAAACAUAUGUGGUUACAUACUGUAAUGGUGUCAUUUUGUUUUAUAGAAAACCAUUUUUGCACUAUACUUCUGCUUGGAAAAGACUCUAAACAGUAACUAUACAAAAACAAAAUGUUCAGUAAGGGGUUUUAUUUCACUAGAAUUGUUUUGAAGGCAUGCAUUUGGUGUCUUAUUCAGUCAACGGUGAAGAAUUGUUGAGGGUUUGCACAUUUUAGGCCAAAAUAUGAAAACACCUAUUUUUGCUAUUUAAUUCUUGUGCCUAGAAUUGGGUAUUUCAUUGUCCCAAUAAUAAUUUGCAGUUUAAUUAAUAAACCCCUAAGUGUACAGCACAGUCCGAUUUGUAAUACUUGGAUAGAUUUUCAAGUGGUAUUAAUGGAUUGUUAUUAAUUAAAAAAUAAACACCUAGUACUUUAUUCUGUUUGUUUACCUCAAGACUUGUAAAAUUCCAAAGCCAUAAGCCUGGUUUUAGGGAGAAACUGUGUGCAGUGGUCAGCAAUCUAUUGCCAAACUCAAACAGGCUGGGGAGGUCUGUGUAAUUCCUCUGGCGUUGACCUGACCAGUUUCUUGGCAGGACUUCUUCAGAUAUCUGCUAGUGCCCAAUUGAAGCGGGCAGUAAGGAGGAGACCUCAGAUCACUUCCUCUCCGUGUUUGUGAAGAAGACACGGCGCAGGUGUUGCCAGCAAACCCAGUCCUUACUGAACCCCAGGGAAGCUGACCCCCUGCCAGUGUUUGGGUGCAGUCAUGAGCAUGUCUGUUUGUGUCUAACUGUGUGAGAGUGUGAGUCCAGCAAUGUGCAACUGUGUGCCCUGGCAGUGUGCAUUGGAGGGGUGCUACACAUUCCAAAAACUGCUAAUGCGCAUGCACAUUGAAACACACCCACAUAUGGAUAAAUGCAAUUCUACAAAGCAUCCACAGCACCCAUACAUGACACAUCAGUAUUCUGCAAUGCAUGCACACACAAGUUAAUUAGAAAAAGGGGGGAAAAAAGGGUGCCGGCACGCCAAAAGACGUCAAAAUCUUGUUUUGGUACAGUGCUGCUAUAAGAUAAGGUUGCUUACACGAUUAUAUAUAAAUAAAAGCACUUUGAUACUUUGAGCUAAGUAGCUAGUUACAAAGUCCCAGAGAACAAGGUGUCAUCUUUCCUCUUCACUACCUGGAGUUUUUAAUAAGUCAACCAGUGUUCGUUACAGAAUCCAAGAUAAUAGAGAAAUAUGCUGCUAGUGUAUAUAAAUAUUUUUUUGAAUUGUUGUAGUCAGACAUUUUAUAGUCAGGAUAUAGGAGGUCAUGUAGAGCAGGUAUAGGUAACCUUUGGCACUCCAGAUGUUUUAGACUACACCUCCCAUGAUUUUUAAAAAAAUUUUUUUAUUAUUAUAUUUUAUUUUUUUUUGGAAGCAAAAUCUAGUUGUUGCAUAGGAACAUUUCCCAUUGUUAAUUGUUUUUGCUAUAUGAAAAGAAAUAAUGCUAUACUCCCAAAAAUAUAUUUGCUGGUUAGAGCAGCGGUAAUGUCGCCUCCUUAGAACUACCACGUUACCAGUAAAUUAUAAUUGGAAUGUGUUUCUUAAUAUGUUGAUGCUAUAUAAAUGCUAAUCAUAAUAAUAGUAAAAAAAAAAAAAAGUUGCACCAGCAACAAUGUGGCAUAAAUAAGGUGCAGUAAAAUGUACAUUUAAAAAAAUAAAUAAAAAAUAUAGAGAGAGAGAGAGAGUGUGUCUGUCUGUCUGUCUGUCUGUCUGUCUGUCUGUCUGUCUGUCUCUGGCACUCUGCCUUAAAAUUGUAAUCCAAAAAAGCCUCGGUGCUGCAGAGCGUAAAUAAACAGAAAAAUGAUAAGAAGACCUGCGGGUCGAAACGUCGAUUUUGCUCAACACCGAUAAAAUUUACUAAACAAGUCCUCUGGAGUGCUCUUCUUAAAGGACCACUAUAGUACCAGGAAAACAUACUCGUUUUCCUGGCACUAUAGUGCCCUGAGGGUGCCCCCACCCUCAGGGUCCCCCUCCCGCCCGGCUCUGGAAGGGGGAAAGGGGUAAAAACUUACCUUUUUCCAGCGCUGGGCGGAGAGCUCUCCUCCUCCUCUCCGCCUCCAUUACGCCCCGCCGGCUGAAUGCGCACGCGCGGCAAGAGCUGCGCGCGCAUUCAGCCGGUCUCAUAGGAAAGCAUUUACAAUGCUUUCCUAUGGACGCUGGCGUGCUCUCACUGUGAUUUUCACAGUGAGAAGCACGCAAGCGCCUCUAGUGGCUGUCAAUGAGACAGCCACUAGAGGAUUAGGGGGAAGGCUUAACUCAUUCAUAAUUAUAGCAGUUUCUCUGAAACUGCUAUAAUUAUGAAAAAAUGGGUUAACCCUAGAAGGACCUGGCACCCAGACCACUUCAUUAAGCUGAAGUGGUCUGGGUGCCUAGAGUGGUCCUUUAAUAUUAUUUGAAUAAACUUUUUUAUUUCAAAGUCCGGAGAGCAGCCUUCCUUCUUGUUGACUGACUAUAUAUAAUCACACACACUCAUCUAAAGGUUAAAGGCAUUCAGAUGUCCACACCCUGUCGCAUCUGGAUAUAUUCCUCUCCACCCAGAAAAACGAGAGUGACUGGCACAAAUUUUGAUUUUGCGUUAGUGGUAGUAGCUGGGGAGGAGACAUGAGAGACUCUGCAUAGAGCGGAUCAAAUAUGAAGUCUUUGAUCAUUGGGGGAUUCUUUAAAGGCAUUCCCUGUAAGGCUGAUUGUAGAGUUCCGUGUCAAUAAGAAUAAAUAAAACCUUGUCACGAUCAUGUUGCACCCACUGUUUAGUUUCGACAUGCCAUUUGAGGAUUUGGAGUGCUGACACUUGCUAUGUAAAUUUGAAAAAAAAAAAAAAAAAGAGUAUGAUGAAGUAAAAUUCUUGCAUUAAAAGUAUGUAUAUUCAAUUUGCAUAUACAGACAUCACUUCUCAAUUGGUUUUUAUCAGUUGUCAUCUGAAAUUAGAGGGAAAUUAUAGUGCCAGGAAAACAAAGUUGUUUUCCUGGCACUAUAGCUCCCUAAAGUGCCCCCCUCCCACCAGUGGUGUAGAAGCACCUGUAUCCUUCGGCGCUGGCUUGGGUCCGCCUUCGUCACUGGCCGUGCUCACAUUAGGAUUUCCCCAUAGGAGAACAUUAUACAAUACUUUCCUAUGGGGCAUCGGGUGAUGCUGGAUGACCUCAUGGCGUCAGGCGACCAAAAGUCUCAUAAUCACCCAGAAGUCCCUCUAGUGGCUGUUUAGUUAAUCCAUAACCCACCCUACCCCUCGCCCACCCACCCACACAACUUUCAAUCUACUGAAAUGACAGGUGCAACCACUGAUCAGCACACCCUUUCAAUCUCUUAACCCUAUAGAACACAUACCCUCUCUCACUACAAAUAGAUAUCACACACCAAAACCAUAUACUUCUAUUUACAUUUUUUUUUCUCACAAUUUCUGUUUCAUUUUCAACUACACACCUUAUACCACUAACAUGAAUCCUAAUAUAACCAUACUGUUAUUCUUAAUAACCCUUUUCUCAAUCCAAUUUUGUUCACACAACUACCAGCAUAAGCACACACCUCAAACUGGAACACAAAUUAUAAUACACCAUGGCCUGCUCUGUUCCUUUAACUUAUCUGCUGAGUGCUGGUGGAGAGUUAUAAAAAAUAGCCCUCCUACCCCAAACUCACAAAAUUAUAAAUUAUCCCAUUCACUAUAUGGCCAAACAAAGAUGAUGUCCAAAUUCCUACUCCUUAUGUUACUUGCCCUUGCAAAUGAUGUGGAGUCUAACCCUGGUCCCCCAGCUAAUUCUAGUCCUAAUCUCCCCACUAAAAAAGGCCUCUCUUUUGUGCACUGCAACAUCCGUAGUUUACUCCCUAAACUGGAUGCACUGCAAGCCUGGUGUUCCCAUUACAAACCAAAAAUCAUUGUGCUCUCAGAAUCAUGGUUAACGGCUAAAAUACCAGACACCGCCAUUGCAAUACAGGGUUAUUCAUGUUUUAGAAAUGACAGAGCAAAGAGAGGAGGAGGCAUUGUUAUUUAUGUUGACAAUUCCAUAAAGUUUACCCCUUUACAAAACCUUAGUCCUCCUGCCAUCUUUGAUUUCCUUUCUGGCACAAUUGAGAUCCCGUGCAGUAAAUCCAUCAUUGUUGCAGGAAUCUACCGCCCACCUAGCUCUCCUGUGCAUUCCCUUUCUGACAUAGCCCAUCUCCUUAGUGAAACCAUAGCUCAAAACCCAAAAAGUGAACUGUUGGUCUUUGGAGAUUUUAAUAUUGAUUGGCUGAACCCUAAAAAUAAUAGUUCUUGCACGCUGUUUAAGACUUUGCAGCUAACGCAAUUAAUCUCCUCCCCAACUCGCAUAAACAUUAAAAGCCAUAAACAUACCCUGCUAGAUUGGAUUCUCUCCACUUCUCCUGAUAGAAUCCAGGAGGUUGGUGUUCUCCCCAACACGUUCAGUGAUCACUGUUUAGUGUACUGCGUGCGCAAAAUAAAGGCUAUUAAAUCCUCUCCCAAGGUUAAAAUAACUAGGUCCUUCAAAAAAUUUAAUCUUGAAUCCUUUUUAAAUGACAUCAAGAAUCUCUCAUGGCACAGAUUAAACAUUAUCCCAGAUCUAGACUGUGCUGUUGAAUACUUUCAGUCUGAACUCCUUCAAAUCUGGAAUUUGCAUGCCCCGCUGCGUAAGGUGAGGGUAAAAGGAGCGCAUAUGAACUGGAUCACAGCUGACCUCAUCCAAAUGUACCAGUUUCGGGAUUCUUUGUGGUCAAAGUUUAAGCAUACUGGCUCUAUGAAUGAUCACGGUGCAUAUAGACAAUGGCGAAAUAUAUGCACAAAACAGACAAAACUGGCCAAGGCCCAAUAUUUCUAUGAAAAUCUGAACAGUAACAUCUCAAACCCUAGAAACUUUUGGAAAGUCAUAAAUAAACUACAAACUCCCCCAAUCCACUCCCAACCCUCCACUGUCAAAGUGGGUAACCAAACCCUGCAACUUCCUUUAGAUGUUGCAAAUGCCUUUAACAAUUAUUUUGUCGGAUGCUCUACUGCCCUGAUUGACAAGCUAAUAAAUGACACGCAUCCUGAAACUACAAAUGUGGAUCAGGCCCCACUAAAUUUGCAAAGGCCCAAUAUAGAUAAGUUUAAUUUUAGACCUGUACCUGUUAGUGUCAUUAAAAAACAUCUUAAUAAUCUAAAAAUGAAAAACCAGUCCGGACCUGAUCAAAUCCCAGCAAUGCUGUUGAAGCUCAGUGCGCCGGCAAUUGCUAAACCCGUCUCAACUCUAAUUAACGAAUCCUUGGUGUCUGGAUACAUACCCAAACUUUGGAAGACUGCGAGAGUAGUGCCUAUCCAUAAAAGUGGUGACACUACUUUGGUUUCUAACUAUCGCCCAAUAUCAUUGCUCCUGGUAUUGUCAAAAAUCUUAGAAAAAUGUGUCCAUACGCAACUUUGUGAGUACUACCAACAAUUAAACUAUCUGACCCCUGAUCAAUCGGGCUUUCGCCAGAAUCACUCCACUACAAUUGCCCUCCUAAAAGUUUGCAAUGACAUCCAAACUGGCAUGGAACAAGGAGCCCUAACUGGAGCUAUUUUCCUUGAUUUUGCUAAGGCCUUUGACACAGUAGACCACGACAUUCUACUGCACAAACUCGAAAACUCAGGUAUUGGUGAUCAUUCUUUAAACUGGUUUCGAUCGUAUGUAUCGGAUCGCUCGCAAUAUGUGUCCAUUUCUGACAGUGACUCCCUCCCUCUCCCAGUCACGUGUGGUGUUCCCCAGGGUUCCAUUCUCGGCCCCCUACUAUUUACAUUAUUUAUAAAUGAUCUGCCUUAUGUCUGCCAAUCCUCAAAUGUACACAUGUACGCAGAUGACACGGUAAUCUAUGCGAGCAAACCCAAUCUACCGCAACUUGAGGCUUUGCUCCAAGACCAGUUUACAGAGGUAGAAAAGUGGAUCGCAAAAAACAAACUCUUCCUGAACACUGACAAAACUGUCACAAUGAUCUUUGGAACAGUACCUAAAUUGCACAAAUUACACAAUCCCCACCUAUCCAUCAAAACAAAUUCAAAUGGCACACUGACCGCAGUCCACUCUUUCAAAUACUUGGGUAUGAUAUUAGACCCCAAUCUAUCUUUUGGCCUGCACAUAGAAAAGCUUGCAUCUAAACUUUAUCCAAAAUUAGGUGCCCUGUACAGAAACAAAGCCUGCCUAAGCCCUACAGUAAAGGAAAAGAUUGUACAGCAAAUGCUGAUGCCAAUCAUUGAUUAUGGGGAUGUAGUAUAUGCGUCUGCAUCGCGAUCCCACAUUAAUAAACUCAACACAUUGUAUAACUCGUUCUGCCGAUUUGUGCUACAAUGUAAUUACAGGACCCAUCAUUGUGACAUGCUAAAGGAACUAAACUGGCUGUCGCUGGAAUCCAGACGCACCCUUCAUCUUUCCAGCCUUGUUUUUAAGAGCUUUUCUGGGAAACUCCCACCCUACCUGAACAAAAUGCUUUCCCCAGCUGUUCCCACUUUCUAUAAGCUCCGAUCCAGUACAAGCACUUUACUUAGUCUACCUCAAUACAAAAAGAAAGCGGCCCGAUCCUCCUUCUCCUACAGAGCACCGCAAUUGUGGAACGACCUCCCGCACAAUUUAAAAUCUUCCCUAAGCCUAAAGUCAUUUAAGAGAUCCCUCUCUACAUACCUCAAAACAGAAUGCACGUGUCAUGGUUGAUUAUAUAUUUCCUGCCUGUUCUAUGUUAAAUUUUGUAUAUAUUGUGUAUUAAUAUUGUUUUUGUAUUUUGUUGUACCUAAUGUAACAAUGCAAUGAUUUGUGGACCCAGGACAUACUUGAAAACGAGAGAAAUCUCAAUGUAUCUUUCCUGGUAAAAUAUUUUAUAAAUAAAUAAAUGUAAUUUAUUGCAGUUAAUAACUUCAAUAAUGACCUUUGUUGGGUUAAGGGACCAGGGAAAGUGCACCCAGACCACUUCAAUGAACUGAAGUGGUCUGGGUGCCAACAGUGUCGCUUUAAAGGACUAUUGCUUAUAGUAAGCAAAGAGAAUUUUAUUGACAGAAACAUUGUAAUUGGCCCAAACCUGGUCAUAUAAGGACAGCUGCUGUGACAUUUAUCAAUACAUUAAAGGAGAAAAGGUCCAGGCACUCCUUGGUUCAAAAUAGGCACUUUAUUAGAACCACAGCUGUGGUUCUAAUAAAGUGCCUAUUUUGAACCAAGGAACCUUUUUUCCUUUAUUCUACUACUUUGGAAAUCUGGCGUUUGGUUCUGGUAUAGCUAAAGUACCCUGGCUCAGACUGAUGGGAGUGAGUGCAGUUCCCUCACAUAAUGUAUUUUAACAUAAUGUAUUUAUUUCAAGAGCUUUAUGCAGUGGAUAUAUCUAUUUUACCUGCUUCCCACAAACCUCCCUGUAAUAGUGCUAAUGAUAGCAUUGUAUUAAGGAGGAUGUUAAGGAUUUACACUCUUUCGAAAGAGUUUAUUUAGAAACUAACUUUAUGAAGGCAAACCAUCCAGCUGUACCCACGAAUUAGGUACUUCUCAUUAUGCCAGGAUAAUAGUCAAUGCUCAGUCUUGUUUUUUUCCUUUUGGAUCUAUUGACAUUUAAGAAAGAGGUUCCUAUGGUGUGGGUGUGUGUCAUUAGGCAUUAGAGAGUGUGGGAACAGUGGUUCUUAGGUUAGAAAUUCGCAUCUAACAUUUACAUAGAUAAAGAAAUGUGAUAAUUUUUCAGUUUGUUUUGAGUGCCAGUAAUUGUGUAAGCGUUUUAAUUAGUGCCUUUCAUUCUGUCCUCAAGCUUCAGCUGUAUGUACUCUGAAGUGUACAUAUUUAGUCAUUAUUUACAAGCUUAUAAUUCUAAAGAAUAAAAUACUCGCUCUGUACUUCCAUGCGUUUUUCUUAUGGAGAAUAUUGGGUACAUUCAGGAAACUAUACUGCUUGUUUUUGCAAUGGGAGGUCAGAUGCUGAUGCUGCCAAUACUUUCUGUAUGUGUCACAGGUUCAGGAUUGAUCAUAAUCAAGAUACUCUCCACGCAGACACCAGAGAAACCUGUUCAGGACAGAAGGUAGGUUAUCAUUUCUCUUAUUUUCGUCUAGGAAUAAUGACUCUCUCUCUCUCUCUCUCUCUAUCUAUCUAUCUAUCUAUCUAUCUAUUUAUUUCAAGGGCAUGGGAGCUUCUGCAACACAUGACGGGUACACUUUACAGCAUAUAGCAAAUCAUGAAACACAAUAGUUCUUAGCUGGAAAAAGGUUACAACCUAACUUAGAAACAUAGAAUGUGACGGCAGAUAAGAACCAUUCGGCCCAUCUAGUCUGCCCAAUUUUCUAAAUACUUUCAUUAGUCCCUGGCCUUAUCUUAUAGUUAGGAUAGCCUUAUGCCUAUCCCACGCAUGCUUAAACUCCUUUACUGUGUUAACCUCUACCACUUCAGCUGGAAGGCUAUUCCAUGCAUCCACUACCCUCUCAGUAAAGUAAUACUUCCUGAUAUUAUUUUUAAACCUUUGUCCCUCUAAUUUAAGACUAUGUCCUCUUGUUGUGGUAGUUUUUCUUCUUUUAAAUAUAGUCUCCUUCUUUACUGUGUUGAUUCCCUUUAUGUAUUUAAAUGUUUCUAUCACAUCCCCCCGUCUCGUCUUUCCCCCAAGCUAUACAUGUUAAGAUCCUUUAACCUUUCCUGGUAAGUUUUCUCCCGCAAUCCAUGAACCAGUUUAGUAGCCCUUCUCCGAACUCUCUCUAAGGUAUCAAUAUCCUUCUGAAGAUACGGUCUCCAGUACUGUGUACAAUACUCCAAGUGAGGUCUCACCAGUGUUCUGUACAAUGGCAUGAGCACUUCCCUCUUUCUACUGCUAAUACCUUUCCCUAUACAACCAAGCAUUCUGCUAGCAUUUCCUGCUGCUCUAUUACAUUGUCUGCCUACCUUUAAGUCAUCAGAAAUAAUCACCCCUAAAUCCCUUUCCUCAGAUGUUGGUUAGGACUCUAUCAAAUAUUCUGUACUCUGCCCUUGGGUUUUUACAUCCAAGAUGCAUUAUCUUGCACUUAUCCACAUUAAAUGUCAGUUGCCACAUUUCUGAACAUUUUUCUAGUUUAUCUAAAUCAUUUGCCAAUUGGCUUAUCCCUCCUGGAACAUCAACCCUGUUACAUAUCUUAGUAUCAUCAGCAAAAAGACAUACCUUAUCAUCAAGACCUUCUGCAAUAUCACCAAUAAAAAUAUUAAAGAGAAUGGGUCCAAGUACAGAUCCCUGAGGUACCCCACUGGUAAAAAGUCCAAGCUUCGAAUAUACUCCAUUGACUACAACCCUCUGUUGCCUGUCACUCAGCCACUGCCUUACCCAUUCAACAAUAUUGGAAUCCAAACUUAAAGAUUGCAGUUUAUUGAUAAGCCUUCUAUGUGCAGUGUCAAAAUCCUUACUGAAAUCUAGGUAAGCAAUGUCUACUGCACCACCCUGAUCUAUUAUUUUAGUUACCCAAUACCCAAUCAAAAAAAAUCAAUAAGAUUAGUUUGGCAUGAUCUCCCUGAAGUAAACCCAUGUUGUCUCUGAUCUUGAAAUACAUGUGUUUUUAGAUGUUCAACAAUCCUAUCCUUUAACAUGGUUCCCAUCACUUUCCCCACUACUGAAGUAAGGCUUGUUUUCGGCCUAUAGUUGCCCGACUCUCCCUAUAUUACCUUCUGGUGAAUGUGGGCAACAUUCGCUAACUUCCAAUCUUCUUGGGACUACUUCCUUGUUAACAAUGAUUGCUUAAAUAAAUCUUAAUGGUUUUGCUUAGUACACCACUAAGCUCUUUUAAUAGCUUCGGUGUAUUCCAUCAGAUCCCAUUGACUUAUUUGUCUUUACUUUUGACAGUUGAAAUAGAACCUCUUCCUCUGUAAACUCACGUGUAAUAAAUGACUCAUUUAUCCUUUUUCUUAACUGAGGUCCCUUUCCUUCAUUUUCAUCUGUAAAUACCAAACAAAAAUAUUCAUCGAGGCAGUCAGCUAGACCUUUAUCCUCUUCUACAUACCUUCCUUCUUUUGUUUAUAAUCUAACUAAUCCUUGUUUUACGUUUCUUUUCUCAUUUAUGUAUCUAAAAAAUGUUUUGGCCCCCUUUUUUACUGACUGUGCUAUUUUCUCUUCUGUGUGUGAUUUGGAAGCUCUUAUAACUUGAUUAGCCUCUUACUGCCUAAUCUUAUAGAUCAUUUUGUCUUCCUCACUCUGGUUUUUUUUAUAAUUUCUAAAUGCUAACUUUUUGUUGAACUACUUUGGCCACAUAUGGGGAGUACCACAGUGGUUUCUUUAAUUUUUUGCUUUUACUGACAAGCCUAAUGCAAUUUUCUGUUGCCUUCAGUAGUGCAACUUUUAGAUAAUCCCAUUUCUCUUGGACUCCAUUUAAAUUUCUCCAGUCUGAAAAUGACUCUCCUACACAUUUUCUAAUUUUAGAAAAACUUUCAAGGACAUAUUAUUUUCUAGUUUAUCCUGUUAUCCCUCUAACAUAAUCACUAACAGACUGUGUCAUAUUUUGUUGACACUAUAACAGAACCCUCUAUUUACUAUAGGGUCAGGAACACAAACAUGUAUUCCUGACCCUAUAGUGUUAAAACCACCAUCUAGACCCUCAUGCCUCCAUAAAUAUAGUAAAAAAUCUUACUGUAUUCAAGCAUGAAACUGUAACUCUGCAUGCUGUUAGACUCAGAAAAACAAGCAGUCUGUUGACAUCAUUAGAAGUGGUAGCCUGACCCAAUCACAAUGCUUCCCCAUAGGAUUGGCUGAGGAGGCAGAUCAGGGGAAGAGCCAGCAUGAUUCAAACAUAAUCCUGGCCAAUCAGCAUCUCCUCAUGGAGAUGAAUUGAAUCAAUGAAUCUCUAUGAGGAAAGUUCAGUGUCUCCAUGCAGAGGGAGGAGAUACUGAAUGUUUGAAUGCAUUUUACGCAGCCAUGACCCAGGAAGGAUCUCUAACAGCCAUCUGAGGAGUGGCCAGUGAAGUUAUCACUAGGCUGUAAUGUAAACACUGCAUUUUCUCUGAAAAGGCCGUGUUUACAGCAAAAAGCCUGAAGGUAAUGAUUCUACUCACCAGAACAAAUUCAAUAAGCUGUAGUUGUUUCUGGUGACUAUAGUGUCCCUUUAAACUAUUGAAUGCUAAUGAUAAUAUGCAUUCAUCAAUAUUCUAGGGAGCCAUUGAGAUUGCUAUUGCAAUGUAUUUUACCAUAUAACUGGAUUGUUGUCUAGUUAAAGGAACACGAUAGUGUUAGGAAUGCAGACCUUUUUUUUUAAUACUUUUUUUUUUUUUUAAAUCUUGCCUCUUUCCAGUGCAGAAUCUGUCAUGAUGUUGGCUAGGUCUCCAGCUAUGGUGACAGUGAUACCUAAUGUGCAUUCCAUCUCUUCCAUAGUAAAGUAUUAAAUCAUUGCUUUUUUACUAUGGGAAUAUAGAAAAUGUUAGACAUCCUCAUCCAAAGCGUUGGGACAUCCAGCAUCAGUUAACAGAGUAAAACUCCACUGGGGACCUGGAAGACAGGCAUCAGGGGUGGAGUUAACCCUGCAAUGUAAUCACACAGGAAUUGCACCCAGACCACUUCAAUGAGAUGAAGUGGUCCAGGUGCCUAUAGUGUCCCUAUAAAUAUUUUCCUCUUAAUUACCCAGUAACUCCAUAUAGCCACAUACAUUCAUUCAGACAUGCCUAUAAUACACUGAGUGCCAUGGAAAGCCAUUUUGUUCUCUUUUCAAACUGCACCUAUAUGGCACCUAUACAUUUUCAGCACCAAAACCUACUACAAUGGGCUGUAUUUUUUUUUUUGUUGUAAUUCUUUAUUUUUUAUACAAUUCGGAUACAUUAGUCACAGUAGUUCUGCCAUUGCAGUAUGAACAAUAGUAGACACAACACAACAUUACCGAUGCAACAUGCUAAAGCAUGGCAUACAUUAUCAUUGCACAAUUUUGGUAUAAUGGACUGUUCGUUGUAACGAUGUAGAUAAUGUAUGUGAUAAUAUCUCUUCACUAUGCUAGCUGUGUUAGGGCCACUCGUGUAGGGAAUUCGUCAGGCCUUGUUCUGAGUUUCAUGAGAGAGAGACUGUGGUGCGGGCACCAGCUUAUGGGUUACAUGCUACUCUGCUGGUUCAGAGGGUUGUUGCUCCGGUUAAUUAAAAACUCUGUCUCCUAGUUGAUGGGCUAGCUACCUGGCUGUCAGUGUUUGAGGUGAGUUAGCGGCUUUGGUUCGAUUCCUAGCGAAGGAGUUAAAGCUCCUAUGGGUGUCUGGUGUGUUGCCUAUGGUAAGUUUACGCGUAGGGAGCUAGUGAGUAGACUGUGAUGUGGGGUUCAGGUCAGUCCCAUUACCACGUCUAGGUAGGCCCAUUUACCGGGUUGUGGGGCGGGGACCCCUCGUACCUCUGCAUGUCUUACCCCGUUACCCUGAGGUUAUAAAAAAAGGGGAGGGAGGGUGGCAGUAGUGGCUCCCAUGGAGAGCGCCUUGUGUGUUAUUGGCAGAAAGCGGGUGAGGUGUUUGUCACUUUCCCAUUUUGCUGUGGGUGGCAAUACAUCGGCAGGUAUUGUUAAAGACAAUUUAACAAAAUUAUUUACAGAAAGAAACAUUAAACCAUACAUAAAACAUGAGUAAAACUUCAUUAGAGGUUGGCCAGGUGUUGAGGCUUGUCAGGUCAUAGGCCUCUUGUCCCUCCUGGGCUCAAAUGUGGGUAUGGCUGUGACAGUUCGUGAGGGAGUGCGAGGCAGUCCUUGGUUUGUAUUACUUUGUUGAGGGAGGGCCAGUGCCGCCAGUAGGGCAGGGAUUUUAGCUGGUUCUGUGGCCUUGUACGAUUUCCCCUCCUUAGUGACCCAUACUGAUCUUGGUGUUGCCCAUCUGUAGGUCAUGCCUUCAGUUUGCAGGAUUUUCGUAAGGGGUUGCAUAGAUUUCCUCCACAACAAAGUGGCUCUGCUUAAAUCUUUGAAAAAUCAAUUUCUGGCACUGUUCAAAAUAGUAAAAAGACGGGGGGCAGGGCCUGACAGCCAAGAUGGCUAGACGCGUUUGUCACAAGCUCCUGCUAAACUAAACUAAACUGCCUGAAAAAACUAAGGCAAACCUGGGGAAAACUGACCCUAGGCAACCAGAGGAUCACCCUAAACCCCCUCGACUACUCCCGAAGCUUGAACCUGGGUGACCCGAUGGCAGCACACAGCGCUACAGCCUAUUACGGUCGACGACCUGGGUGUUGGGUGAGGUGGCCGAUCUCCCAACCCCUGGCUCCAAGCGACCACAGGAAUCUGCACAGCCCUGUUCCCCCCCGUCCCCUUGGACCGGCGGGGGAUAUCCCGGUCCCUACAGGGUGCGACCUCACCUCAGCAUGACCAACAAGUCGGAGCAAAAACCCUGAAGCCGCAUGGCUGCCAAAGAUGGCGGAUGACAAGCACCCCUCACGAGCACAUACAAAUCCAAGGAGUGAUCGGGAGCUUGAGCCUAUCGAGGCCUCCUUUGAAAAGUUAUGGCAAGCAUUCUGUCUCUGCCUGAAACUCCGGGCACACUGGCUAGCCACUCAUGCGAAACACGAACAACCGACGGCAAAGAAAGCUGCGGCACUGCCAUACAGGCGCAAGGCCUGCUCCACGCGGAAGCCAGCCGACGCCCUCAAGCACAGAGAAGCCCCCGGCUAACCAGAGCCCGACCCCCGACGACACUCAAGAACACCUCUCCGAGUGCCAAAGCCCAACCCAGCCUCACAGCAAAAGCAGGAAGCUAGAAUAUGAAUAGAGGUGAGCAUUGUGUAGUCCCAAUGGCGUUUAUCUACCUUAACUUUACACAACAUGCAGACACCCAAGCCAUGGGACAGUCGAGCAGGAUACUACAUAGCAGCCUGUAUCAUACCUGGUCAACACAUACCAUAGCCCUGAAACACGAAAACAUGAUUGCACACCAUACUGACACUAACGUAGUUAAUACAAAAUUGUUAAACAUUAAUCGUUCUCACUUGUUUUAAUUACUGUUACGCCGCAAGUAUAAUCGUCUACUUAAGCUGGUUAAAAUUAUAAAAAUGUGCAAAUUCUCAUGCCACUACCUAAUGUAUGCUAACCCUGCAAUAUGCUGUUGUGGUGGCACCUGUUUGAUAUCUUGUACCCUCCUGCACAACAAAAAUAAAGAAUUAAAAAAAAAAAAAAAAAUUGUAAAGAGACUGUCCCUUUAGUGCCGUUAAGAGUCCCAUCUUGUCCGAAAUCAAGUGGCAUCGCUGGAUAAUGUCGCGGGAUGCAGAGGCUGGGGCUUGAGGAGACCUUGCAAUCCUGUACACCCCUAUUGAAUGUUAAGUAUUUGGCUUGCUUUACCGGCAGGAGGGAAGCCACCAAUCUUUGUAUGAAAUGUGGUAACUCUUCUAGAGGGAUUGUUUCCAGGACUCCCCGUAUCUUAAUAUUCUUCCUUCGCCCUCUGUCAUCUAAAAUAUUCACCUGUUUGCGUGUCUCAAUAUGUGUUGCCUGUAUUUGCUGCACUUGUUCACUCAGCGCCUUUAGGCAGGAUUUUUUAACCCGGGGCGAGGAAGAAAGGCAUCGGCCACUUCAGGGCAGUGUUCUACAUGUGAGUCUGCCCCUGUGGUUAUUGUUGGCUGUAAGAUGCUGUUGCUAUUUAGUAGAUUGCGAGUUUGGCCGCCGGAGCUAGGAAGUAUGGCGUCUGCUCUGGUGUGCUGCUAGGCUUCGCCCUCACAAUGGGCUGUAUUUGUUAUGUUUCUUAGAUGGCUACUUUAAUAGGAGAUACAUAAACACAUACAUUGUUUUUUUCAGAUUUCCCAAAAAGUCUUUCGAUAGAGAUAUGCAAGUAUGGCUUCAUCUUUGUAAGGACAUGAAGGGGUGCUGCCCUGCGACAGCACUGUUCCUUUAAAUGUGGGAACCAACUUAGCAGAGAAAUAAUGCAAGGACACGAUGAAUAGAGCAAUCAAGAAAAUAUGUAUUAAAGAAAACCAAAGGAUAUAAUAUACAAAAUAUGUACAAUGAUAUAUAUUAUAUACACACACACACACACACACACUAAAUACAAAUAGAGCAGGUAGAGUACACUUGAUAGUCCUUAGGCAGGAUCGUGCAGCCACCAAAGAAUAUAAGUGGGGCACGGAUCCUAAGCCACCAAGCACUAAAUAAAAAACACCAAGGAGCAAAGCCCAAAGCAGGUCACACGUAAAUAAGGCAGCAAGGUCAGAAUCACUGGAAAUGAAGUAUAGGCAGGAACACUGGAACGGGAGACACUGGACCAGGCAAAGACGAGAACGCAGGACUAUAAGGACAUCGGAACAGGAUCAGGAUACAAGACACAGGAGCAAGGAGUCAGAAUCACGGGGAACCAAGAAACAGCAGGUGAAGGAUAAUGAUCUGACAGGGAGUGAGGGGAGAUACCAGAAUAUAUAGGUGCCAAACAAGGGCCAGGUGUAGUGCUUAACGAAAAGAAAUGAGAAACAGUGCCAAACAGAAACAGUGGUGAGUGUGAGUACUGCAUGAGGGCAUAUUAACUAAGGAGUGUCGUGACAAUCUUCAUGUGUUUUUUUUUUUUUUUUUUAAAUAGACCCUGUUAAUGUCUGUACCCUACUAAACACAGUUUGUCUAGGUUAGAGGUGGAGUGCUAGAUAAUCCACUUAUAUUCACUUUCUUAUGUCCUGGCUAGAGGCAUAGUCUAUUUUUAUUUUCCCCUUGUGUAUGAAACAUAUAUGCAUAACGAUACCUGCAGUUCCUGUAUUUCCAUUUUUUUUUGCAGCUUCUUCAGUGAGCUUUUUCCAGACUAGGAAAGCAUUCUGCCAGUUAGCUCAUCCCAUAAAUCAGUCCCAUCAGUGUCUCUGGGAGUUGUAUUCCAGUUCUCAGCUUUGUACUGCAGGACUACAACUAGCAUGACAUCCGAUACAACUUAUUAUUAAAGCAUUAAGAGAAAUGCUAAAGUUCAGGAGGAAGUGUCAAAGUUCAAAAAGGGGAGGUUUUUCAUAGGAAACUGUUGUAUUACAAUAAUGUACAGAACAGCAAAAAACAACAAAAUAGCAUAACCUACUGCAGCACAACAUACACUUUACACCUAAGUUGUGGGUGCAUUGGAUGACCCUAUAAUAAGUGAUUGUACACCUGUAACAUGAACACUUUAUUUUUCCAAGUAGUGCAGAAAAUCUUUUAUUAAAUGAGAUAUUUGCCAAAAAAGUAAGUUUGUUUCAACAAGAAUGACUGCUUCCUAAUAGAUAAUUAGUAGUACUGUAUGAUAAGGUUACAAAAUACUCUGCCUCUGCUGAAAUGAAAUGUACUCUGCAGGCUUCUAAAAUUAAAGUAUCGCAAAUUGUCUGCAAGAGAUAAACUCGGGGAGAGAGAAACAAAGAGAAUCGUAUGCUAUUCUUGUUUACAUAAAUACCACACCAAAAGCUGAGCCAAUCUAAAAACCUGGUCUAUUCUGUUUAAUGGUGUGAUGACACCAAAAUGAAUAAAAUAUAAUAUUCUUUCCUUGCUUUCUUUAUAGUAAGCCAUUAAACAUAUUGUGCCUCAGCCUGGAGAGAUCUGGUUGUCAGAGCCACUAAUUAAGGUGUGUGUGUGUGUGUGUCCCAGACAAGAGAUUAUCAGAUAUGCCCUUAGGAGGAUAUUGAUUUUGUGAAACCUCAUGAAGCCUUGAAGCAGCUGUCAAAGAGAAAGCAACUUAAAGAGACACCGCACAGUGGUUAUUUUAUGCAUAACUGAUUCUAUUACAAUUUGCAUAAAUAUGAUACUUUGUAUGAAUCUAACUCAUGCUGGGUUUUCCUUUAGCUACAUCUUGUUAUUUUUGCUUGCUGUAUGAAGUGGCUGGAUAAUCCCAGCGAAUCUUGUCGCGCAACUUUAAAAUCAAUGGGAGAUGCACUAAGCAUGAUUCCAGUGGGAGAGACUUGCAAGUGAAAUGCAUUGACAAUAAUGACAUCCUUUUGUAUAUUUUGUAUAUUGUCUUAUGUAUGGCUUUACCUGUUCUUUUUCACCCUGUGUGUUCACAUAGAGUGCAGAAAAUGCAUACACACCGCGACCUUUGUUUAUUCAUGUGCACUCUGUAUGCAUCCACACUGGUUGGUCACUUGAAGCACCAUCUCAGCCUUGCAGAUGUGUGUGUGUGUGUGUGUAUAUAUAGUUAAUGGUGCAGAGAGUAUGUUCACAUGCUCUCUGAUCUCAGUGUGGCUCAGAAAUGCAGCCAUUUCCUAAAAUCACUGCAAUCAAUCAGAGGUGUCAGUUGGGCAGCCAGCAAUGCAUGGUGUUGGGUUGCACACGUUGAUUUUUCUCCAGUUUGAGUUCAUGCAGCAUCUGCAUGCUAAAUCUAGAUUGUGUUCUUUUCUCCCAGGAGAUAGCCAAACCAUGGACCCGAACUCCCAAAACGUAUAUUUACACAUUGUCCAGUUAACUAAACCGUGAAUCGUGCCACAAUAUGGCUUUUAUCAGUGUUCGUGUCCCACAGCUCCCUCUUGUGGCAAUGAAAGGGUUAGAUAACCCUUUAAAAUUUUACUUUAUUCAAGAUUACUGGAUUGCUCUCCGACGUCCGUACGAGGGGGAUCCUAAGGUGUGGAACAUGCGCAUAAGACCUUCCCCAUGGGAAAGCAUUGAAUUUGUGCUUUCCUAUGGGGUUUUGCAAGAUGCUUGACAUUUACCAUGAAGUGCCUCUAGAGGCUGUCUGGUAGCCACUAGAGUCAGUCUAAUCCCUUUAAUGUAAACAUUGCAGUUUCUCUGAAACAUCCUGACAUUUAUGGAUGUAAAGGGAGACUGCAGUUGUUGAUCAAACUUUUUACACAGCGGAACAAGCUGUUCACACAGCUGUCCACGUAUAGGAUGUUGUGUCUACUUUGAUAAUUAUGCUUGUAUAUGAAUAUGAAUAUAUGUGUGUAUGUGUGUAUAUAUAUAUAUAUAUAUAUAUAUAUAUAUAUAUAUAUAUAUAUAUAUAUAUAUAUAUAUAUAUAUAUAUAUACUCUUGAGAUUUCUAGUUGAGAUUUAAGAUUUUCUGAAUUCUUGCAAGAGCAUUGGAAAGCUACAAUCAAUAUGUAACUUGAUUGAUAUUGCCAAAAGUAAUUUGCAUACUUGUGACUUGAUGCAAGGGAUCUGGUAUUUUAGGACGAUCACUUUAUGUACUAAAGCACUUUUACAAUAUAUAUUCAUAUUCUUCUUUUAGUUGUGUAUUUUUUUUUUCCCUUCAAAGCCUCGUUACUAAAAUCGGACGCAGAGUUUUAAAGGAGAGCAAUCAUAUAGUUUCAUUUUGUUUUGUUACCUGUCUUUUUUUGUUUUCCACAUGGUUAAAGGGACACAAUAGUCACCAGAACAAAUAUAGCUUAAUAUAGUUGUUCUGUAGAGUAUAGUCAGUCCCUGCAGGCUUUUUUAAUGUAAACAAUUUUCAGAGAAAAGGCAGUGUUUACAUUACAGCCUAGGAACACCUCUAGUUGCCACUCUUCCGAUGGCCAAUAGAGGUACUUCCUGGGUCAGUGCUGCACAGUAUGCAGCACCUAUGUUCAGCGUCCCUGCACUCGGCAUGGAGAUGCUGAUCUUUCCCCAUAGAGAUGCAUUGAUUCUUUGAGGAGAUGCUGAUUGGCCAGCGGGGUGUUCCCGCACCUCCUCAGUUGAGAUCAUCAGAAUUGAUAAUCUCAGCCAAUCCAAUGCUUUCCUGUAGGAAAGAAUUGUGAUUUGGCUGAGAUAAUCAAUUCUGAUGUCACUCAAGAAGGCAGAUUGGGGGCAGGACCAGAUGCAAGGAGCCCAGUGAGGCACUGGAAAAAGAUGGGUACAUCAGUUUCUAACCUGAGGUGAGAGGGGCCGGUUUGUGUUCCUGACACUAUAGUGCCCCUUUAAAGCUGUCUGUUAUUUCCUAAGUGUGAAUUGUUUUAAAUUUUAAAGUUAAAUUAAAAUGAAUUAUAAAUUUUACUUACUGAAAACACAGCUGGCUUAGAGCUUUAUUUCCAUUUGGCUAUUUUGGGCAAAAAUGUGACACUUACUUUGACUUUGCUUUGAAUUCCUGACAAUUCACACUUUAAUGAAUAGUCCUGUAAAAAGCAGGCUAUAGUCUUUGUUCUGAACAGCCCUGAUAAGGUUACUGGCGGACCUGCUCCACGCUUCAUAUUGGGUGGUGAAAUGGACCAACCUAGUUCAUCUUUCUGUCUCCGGUCAAUCCACUAUGCUAGGGCCUAGGUGGCUGCCUAAAGCCAGUUUAUGGGUAAUCCUGCCCUGAUUCAGAAUGUGUUAUUAUUUACAAAUGUACAUUGUAUCCCUGGGUGUCCUGGCACACACAGAGAAUGCCAUGUAAAUUAAACUCCAUGGUGUCAUAUGUAAGCACGUUUUUAUACUUGCCUCUCCUGCAUCACUCACCCUUUAAUUUCUACAGUUCCCAGUUUUGCUGAGCUGUACGAUACUGUGUCACUACAAACAUGUUGACCUAUAACAAGCUGAUCAUAAGAGGUUACUACAACACAAAGUGCCUUCCUUGCUUUCUAAUCAGAUCCAUGCAUGUGCUCAUACGUAGGAGGAGAGCGACCAGCACAAUUUCAUUCAGCUUGAGGCAUGGCAGAAAGUGAGAACAAAUGGUUUAUUUUAUGAACGAUGGUCAGCUAACACUGGCUUCCAUUGUUCUACUGUUGGUGGGGUGAGCGAUGGUUGGUCAGGAGAUGGGUGUUAUUUCUGCCUCAUGCUGUGAAUUAAAUCACCCAAAAUGAACUGGGGCAGUGAUACAAGUACUGCCCCCACAAGUGAUUCUCUUGGCAUACCGUAUAAUGAAUCAGUAUGGCACCAUUGUCGCCCCAUGGUCACUAGCGCUGUAAAUGUAUACUGUAUAUAUGUGGUAUGUAUUUCAUUAGUAUAGCUUGCAAGUGUUAUGCAUUAGCACAUAGACCUAUAUUUUCUAGAUAGAAGGGUGUUUUAAAAAAAAAAAAAAAGUGUACGUACAUUUGUCUUUUUAUUUCUACUUUAUGCAUGUUUAUAAUGUUUUUAACGUUAUAAAGUUUAAUGAGAAAACAAUAAAGUAAAUUGAAAUUACCUUCACUAGUGAUUUAAUGAGAUCCUUGAGGCUGAUGCUGCGAGACUAAAUAUUUGAUAUCGGGUUCGAUUUUCGUAAGGAACAAACAAAGGUCUCCUCUUUCGGUCAUAUUCAGACGGUUUCUCUGUUUGCUCAUAAUAUGAUUUCUCAUCCGAGCAUCAGCUCCUCUCCAUCCUCAAUGUCCCCCCUCUACUCUGCUCCUUCUUUCUCGUUUUUUAAAAGUAAUCUGCUCCUUCUUUCUCCUAUUCUACAAGUAGUCCACUUCCUGCUAUCGUAUAUCCACCUAACUUCCUCAACCUAUCCCCUUCCUCUACCCACGUGUUACACUUGUUCACGAGCGCACGCGUUUGUACGUGCGUACGCGCGCUAUACAGGCGCACACGAGCGUUCGGGCACACUUUUGCGCUUUCGUGGACUUGCAUCUGCACUUCCUGAUUACCACUGAGUGCACAAAUGAGAGGAAUAGAGCAUUCAUCUCUCUGGAUGGAGGGAGGAUUCUACUACCGCCCACCUGGAAUCCUAAAACGCCCAUUGGUGGGCGGUAGGGACCAGGUUGACAACCCCUAAUUUAGAGCAUGAUAGGAAGAGGGGAGAUGGAAUGAUGGGAGGAAAUGCAAUGUGAUUAUUUUCACUGAGGUUAAAUGUGGUCAGGAAGCAUAUUGCACUGUGUAAGGUCAAGUGAUGUGGUAGUUGGGGUUUUCAGCAUUUUCUUAGAGUACAGUGGAGGUGACAGAGUGGAUGUGACAAGGUAUUUCCUUCUUGUUUAAAGAGCAAAAUUGAAGACCGGAAAGGAGCAAGAGGCAAUAUAGCUAUGGUCUGGGAGAUGAGAGAUAGCAGGCAUAGCAUGGGAAAUGAAUGCCUUUUUUUUUUUUUUUCUCCAAAGCAAAGUAUAAAAUGUUAGCAGUAUAGCAGUAAAUGGACAAUACUACUUAAUUUUCACUGACUAUCCAGAAACGCUUCCACAAAACUACAAUAUAUUUCUUAUAUAUUAUUUGUAGAUUAUCAGUUGUGAAUUGCUUGUUAGUAUUUUUCUUUCUUUUCAUGAAUUCAUGCAACACUCCUAUAUUUACAGUUUGUUACAUUUUUAUUUUAUUUUACAACUGUUUUGAGAUUUUUAUUUUCCUCAAAAAAAAUACAAAUGAAUUUGUCAAAAUUCUUUAAGGGACACUAAGCACCAUAACAACUCCAGUUUACUGUGACUGCCCUGCAGCUUGUAACUUCACCUAGAAGUCCUGUAAAUUAGAAAACCAGGAAUUAUAUUGCCCAACUCUCUUAUCCUCAUAACAGUGAGUUGGUACUUCAGGAUUCAUAAUGUGUUGAUAUGGGAGAGACUUGCUGGCAAGUGGAUUUUAUAGUCGUUUCAAUCACCAGUAAUUCAGAGAUAUUCAAAUGCAGCUUGGUAUAGCAUACAUGUGGUCAAUCGUAGGUUUAAAUAUUUGCAAAUGUAUUUGUGGUUCAAUUCUUCAGGCAUAUAGGUUUUACAUUUUCUCUGGUUAAUUGAGAGAGAGAGGAAAGAAUAUGGUAAAGUGGAGAGACGGAUAAAAGUGCUGAGAAUUCACGACACAUCCAGGGCGUCCUGACUCCAAGAAGUUCUUGUAAAACCACGUCUUUCAUUAUUUUUAAAAAAAUCUUCAGAUUUACAGUAUUGUGGUGAAUUGCAGUUUUUAUUUGUAGGUUUAGUUUCAUUUUUUCCAGUAGCCUCCUCCCACCCCCCCAACAACAUGUGAUAAUUAAAAUUUUUUUUUUUACUUUUGGUAGUUUUUCAUCAAGACAGUAUGAUUGAGUGAUUAGAAGAUUCUUUUGAUGCAGUAAUUACUGCAUUUGGCUUUAUUUUUAGAAUCUCUAGACUACAGCACUGAGUGACUAAACAUGUCUCUUUAGCCUUUUGACUACAUUGCCAAAUCCUUCAGAAAAGGUGACUGACAUAAAGUGAGGUGGUCUAUAAGCAACUACAUACCGGUAAUUGAAACUCCAGUGGUCUGUGACCAAACCAUUACUUUGACAACCUGGUUAUGUCUUUAAAGGAACUGUGCAUUUUAACUAUAGAAAAGAAACGGUCUCUCUAAGAUGAAAGCGUAAUAUAUAGAGGAAUUGAUUAAAAAAAUAAAAAAUAAAAAAAUUAAAAUGUAUAAUAGAUAUACACCCAAAGAUUGCAUGCAUAUUUUAUGGUGUUGUGGUUUUUAUGGUAGUGUGUAUGAUAAAACCGCUUACAGAAGAUGCAGAUCUGCUGGCUGCAGCUUUUGCAAGCCCUUCCCUUUUUCUCUGACACAGACUAAUCAGAGUUCUCAUUGAGUUGUGAGCAUGCACAUGAUCGUGACUUUUCGAUGUGUUACAGUGCUUUAAAAGGAGAAGGUGGUGCUGCCUCCUUCGUUAGCUUUGCGGAGCUAACUGAAGCAAAGAAAUUCCAGCCAGCGAGUCGUUUCUGUGUGUGUAUAUGUAUAUAUGUAUGUAUAUAUGUGUAUACAUAUCCAACACACACAAAGGAUACGGUAAUAUACUAAAGGCCGGGAUGAUGAUUUUGGUUUUUUUAUUUUUUCUGCAUUUAAUAUACUUGGAUAUAUUUAAAAAAAAAAAAAGUACCGUAAAUACAUUUUUGAGCUGGCAGUGGGGUAAUCCCUAAAGAGAGGCUAACCAGAGGGCAGUCCAUUGAAUUUUGCUUGUUCUCCUAAAUUCUGUUGUGGUUUUUUUUUUUUUUAUAUAACAUUUCCAUGUUUCUAUAUGAGUGUCUGAGCUGGCUGUUUUGAUGUUGGGGUGAAUUUGUGACUGCAGUAAAGGUGAAAUCUCUAGCUGUAGCAUUCCAUAGUCUGUGUGGGUAUCCUGUCCUGUAUUGCUGUAUGACUGCACAGCUUUUUACAUGAACAAAGUCACCUUCCAGCUUUUCACAUUGCUGGCUGAUUGCAAUCUCUGAGCUGUGUUCAUAAACAUGGGAGCCAUGAGAUCCAAUGGUUCUAUUGUAUAGGUGUUUAUGCUUAAUUAUAGCAUUUUACAAAUGAAACUAAAUUUAGGCUAUAAUAAUCCAUCUUGGAAAAUUCUUCACUCUGCUUUAGUUGUAGCUUAGCUAUUUUAGCCUCAGUUUUGCUAUUCAGGUUUCCACUUAUAACAAUCUGAGUUUACUGAAUAACCCUUGCAGUGUGGCAGGUGAUAUCUGGUAAACUUCAUGGAAAGAUGUAAACUGUUUGAGUGAGAUAUUUAUAAUGGUAACAUUUUUUUCCAGCGUGAUAUUCCAAUGAUCUAAAGUGUGAUUGCACAAUAUUUAUUUUUCAUUUAAUCUUUGUCAAUAAUUAAAAAAAAAAAAAAAAAAUCCCAUCUUUCCCUCAUCUCAAUCUUGUCUGCUGCACAUUUAGGAGGCGUUUGCAAUGCUGACCAAACGUUUCUAUGCAUUUUUGUCAGCAAAGGGUUAAACUGCCUACUUGCCAGUGGGAAGCGUGCGUCAGUGAAUGAAUGUCUGUCGCUGCCAGUCGUCUGCUUGUUGUUUUCUGACUCUGGUGUCAUUGUAUAGGGGCUACCACCCUCUCAUUGUGGGGUGACCAUCUCCAGACCAGCCUGUAAUUGGUCCCUGUCUUCCCAGGUUACCUUUCACCUACUAGGCAUUAAAUGGGC
Molecule: non-coding RNA, 25688 nt
Organism: Pelobates cultripes (western spadefoot toad)
Lineage: Eukaryota; Metazoa; Chordata; Amphibia; Anura; Pelobatidae
Source: the annotation of a GenBank genome assembly